RNAcentral lists this ribosomal RNA (620 nucleotides) under uncultured Acidobacteriota bacterium. RNAcentral's name for it is "SSU rRNA". It matches the Rfam family "Bacterial small subunit ribosomal RNA", at positions 242 to 880 of the family's 1533-position model. Lineage: Bacteria; Pseudomonadati; Acidobacteriota. The record is from RNAcentral.
CAGCUAGUUGGUGAGGUAAUGGCUCACCAAGGCGAAGAUCGGUAGCCGGCCUGAGAGGGCACACGGCCACACUGGCACUGAAACACGGGCCAGACUCCUACGGGAGGCAGCAGUGGGGAAUCUUGCACAAUGGAGGAAACUCUGAUGCAGCGACGCCGCGUGAGCGAUGAAGCCCUUCGGGGUGUAAAGCUCUUUCGACGGGAACGAUAAUGACGGUACCCGAAGAAGAAGCUGCGGCUAACUACGUGCCAGCAGCCGCGGUAAUACGUAGGCAGCAAGCGUUGUUCGGAAUUACUGGGCGUAAAGAGUGUGUAGGCGGUGCUCUAAGUCUGUUGUGAAAUCUCCCGGCUUAACCGGGAGGGUGCGGCGGAAACUGGAGUGCUUGAGGGUGGGAGAGGUAAGCGGAAUUCCUGGCGUAGCGGUGAAAUGCGUAGAUAUCAGGAGGAACACCUGUGGUGUAGACAGCUUACUGGACCACUUCUGACGCUGAGACACGAAAGCGUGGGUAGCAAACAGGAUUAGAUACCCUGGUAGUCCACGCCCUAAACGAUGCAUACUUGGUGUGAGCGAUUCAUUUCGUUCGUGCCGGAGCUAACGCGUUAAGUAUGCCGCCUGGGGAG